UGGAACCAAACAAUGUGAUAAUAAUAACAACAAUAAUAGCUUUAAGCAGAAAAUGGAGGAAAAGGUUUCAAAAGUUGUUACUAAAUGUCAAAGUCCUUCUUCAACUUUGGACUACAAUAACAGUCUUGGAGUUUUCAAUGGAAUCUCCUAUCCAACAGACAUAGUUCUAAAAGAUAAAUUUACAGACAACAUAGAACCUGUUUUACCGAAAUUCAUCUAUUCAGAACCAACAAAAGAAGGAUUCUUGUUUAAAAACAAAGCUUAUGAUGAAUCAGUAAACAACCAUUGACCGUUUUUUAAACAUGACAACAAGUCCGAGAAAGCCUCUACUUCCGAGGAUAUUAAAAACAGUACAGUUGGGAACAUUCUUUUUCCUCGUGUGAACAACAUAAGCAAAGAACGUAACCGGCUUUCAUAUUACGGCAAUCCUCAUGUGGGAAAUCUUACACUAGUCUCUGCAGAUAAGAGUUCGAGUUCCAUUUGCCUAUCCAAACAAUCUUCAAGCAUUGACUACCCACCGUCGCUCAAACCAAGCCCAAAAAAACCGCUGCAGCAAAUAAGCCGCUUUCUCAUCCCACUUUCGCUGAGAUGAUAACUGAAGCAAUCACAAACCUGAAAGAAAGAACCGGUUCAAGCCAAUAUGCUGAAACAAAAUUCAUCAAAGAGAAACACGAGGACUCACCUCCAACUUACCGUAAGCUUGUCAAGUUUACCUAUCAGAAGGUAUUGUUUCACUAUGGAGAGAUAACACUGCAAACGUCAUCCGUUACUUCCCCGCUCAGGCUUUGAAUUUUGCAUUCGAGGACUACUUCAAGAGGCUUUUCGAUUUCAAUAAGGACAAAGAUGGUUACUGGAAGUGGUUGGCUGGUGACUUGGCCUCAGGAGCACGAAUCUAAACCGUAGCCACCAAUAUUCAUCGCUGAAGCAUCAACCGCCUGCAUUACCGUCCAAGUCAAACAAUCUGCACAUAAAGAGAGAAAAAGCAAAAGACGACUUCACUUUGAAGAAUCUGCAACUUUCAAGAAGAGGAUAACAUAAUUCGAUCUCCAAUUUCUCAACCGACGGAACCGGAAGCUCCACACCAGCAUAACCUGCACGAAGGAGGAAACUCAGAGGGUCAUCAAAAGACUCAAUGUUUAAUCCAAAAGUUUCAAAUUCAGUUCCAGAAUUAUUUGAUACUAACCUUGUACUGUUCAUUAGUCGGCGCCGGUGUUAAUCUCCAAUACAAUCCGCCUCAAACCAUGGGGAAGAAGCAAAAUGGGUUUAGAAGGCCUGUUAUCAUAAAAAACAAGAGGAAUCAUCAGCAGGUCGUAACUACUGGACCAUCAAGCCAUGCACAUAACAUCUAUUGAGCUAACAUCUAACUGCAUCAAAACCAACAAGCAGUAGGCCCAUUGUAGCAGGGACAUGGCAUAUGCUAGCAGACAACUUACCAAAACCAGGCUCCAACUAAUUGAACCUAACAACCUUGCUAACUUUGUCAUCCAAACUAACAGUAGCAGCUCAUUACACCAACAAAGCUAACAGUCCUAAUUGCAACAUAACAACAAACCAAUGUUAAUGGAUAAACCUGUUGAAGCCAAGAGAAGUCCAUGUGAGGUCUCCAACUCA
This 1611-nucleotide long non-coding RNA is filed under the name Lathyrus oleraceus (garden pea). Its description in RNAcentral is "Pisum sativum (pea) long non-coding RNA (PSAT_LNC035013)". Lineage: Eukaryota; Viridiplantae; Streptophyta; Magnoliopsida; Fabales; Fabaceae. The record is from RNAcentral.